This 323-nucleotide ribosomal RNA is filed under the name Coccidioides immitis. RNAcentral's name for it is "LSU rRNA". It matches the Rfam family "Eukaryotic large subunit ribosomal RNA", at positions 331 to 670 of the family's 3401-position model. Lineage: Eukaryota; Fungi; Ascomycota; Eurotiomycetes; Onygenales; Onygenaceae. The record is from RNAcentral.
AGACCGAUAGCGAACAAGUAGAGUGAUCGAAAGGUUAAAAGCACCUUGAAAAGGGAGUUAAAUAGCACGUGAAAUUGUUGAAAGGGAAGCGCUUGCAACCAGACUCGGUCGUGGGGGCUCAGCGGGCAUGCGUGCCCGUGUACUCCCCCAUGCUCCGGGCCAGCAUCAGUUCUGGCGGUUGGUUAAAGGCCUCUGGAAUGUAUCGUCCUCCGGGACGUCUUAUAGCCAGGGGCGCAAUGCGGCCAGCCGGGACUGAGGAACGCGCUUCGGCACGGAUGCUGGCAUAAUGGUUGUAAGCGGCCCGUCUUGAAACACGGACCAAG